Molecule: transfer RNA, 86 nt
Filed under: Fusibacter sp. A1
Lineage: Bacteria; Bacillati; Bacillota; Clostridia; Eubacteriales; Fusibacteraceae
Also listed under: 1 other name
Description: tRNA-Leu
Rfam family: tRNA
About the family: Transfer RNA (tRNA) molecules are approximately 80 nucleotides in length. Their secondary structure includes four short double-helical elements and three loops (D, anti-codon, and T loops).
Source: RNAcentral
GCGGAUGUGGUGGAACGGCAGACACGCUACCUUGAGGGGGUAGUGCCUGUAUGGGCGUGAGGGUUCAAAUCCCUCCAUCCGCACCA